UAUGUUUUAUUGCUGAGGUUCCAGGAUCCCAUUUAGCUUAGGCUGCUUUUGGGUGUUGGGAUGGGAAAUGAAGCAAUGUAGUUGCUUCGACUGGAUUUCUUUGUAUUCGAGAAUUUGUUAUGACUUGUUUUGUAUUCGUGAUAUGUUUUUAUUGCGGUACGACGUGAAUGGAACAUUUUGUGAAUAUUGUAAAUAUUCUCAAUAUUGUAAACUUUUUCUUGCGUUUGCUUGUGUAGCUAUG
Molecule: unclassified non-coding RNA, 241 nt
Filed under: Hevea brasiliensis (rubber tree)
Lineage: Eukaryota; Viridiplantae; Streptophyta; Magnoliopsida; Malpighiales; Euphorbiaceae
Source: RNAcentral